CGGUCUAACAAAAUCUUUUAGUACUGAUAACAAAUUUUAAAAAAAUAAACCAAUCGCUGAUCAUUAUUGAUCCUCCUGACAUCAUUGCUAUCUUCGCCAUCUUUGUUACAGAAAAUUAUUUUCAAAGAUCUUAUUUAUUUUUAUAAGUCCAUGAAACAAAACAGAAAUAUCCAGAUGACAUUCAGAUGACAUUCAGAUUGGUCAUAGUAAUCAGCUGGAAAUUAUAUUGAGGGGACUUCGGCUUGUCAACUAAAAUCACCACGGACCUGCUAGAGCACUAGAUUUUUCAUUACAGAAGAAGUUUAAGAACUGAAUCGUUUCUCUAUAGAGAAAAGGUUGAAAAGCAUUUUAAUUUGAGGAUAUUCCAACCUGAAGCAAGUUGUACAAAUGUUAAUGAUGGAAGACCCUGUUAGAAUACUGUGCAUACCUGGGGCUAAAACUUAAUCAAAGAUGACCUAUGCUGAAGUGGUGAGACUUGCUAUGCAUGUAACAGGAGACCAAACUGAGACCACCUUUGAUAUAAAGUGUAUAGAAAUGAAGAAAUCAAUGGGAGCCCCUGCCAAAAGGAGGAGUGUUGUUACAGAAUAUAAGUUCCCAAUGAAACAGGGUAUAGAUGAGUGAUCUAGUGUUUGAGUUCACUGAGGAUGUGGCUGUCAUCCUAACAAACAAAGGUUUACAUAGUAUUUAUCAGGCAACAUUCAGACAGUCAGAUAUUCUACAUUUCGGAUACGGAAUAAAGAAAUUGCUGUUGAGGAAGAGAGGAGUUUCUGUGACGAGAUUGAUACACAUAGAGCAU
Mytilus trossulus (common blue mussel) is the source of this 796-nucleotide long non-coding RNA. RefSeq lists it as uncharacterized. NCBI's taxonomy places the organism in Eukaryota, Metazoa, Mollusca, Bivalvia, Mytilida, Mytilidae. The record is from RefSeq and is a predicted model, not a curated record. The transcript has 7 exons.